Molecule: unclassified non-coding RNA, 251 nt
Filed under: Hevea brasiliensis (rubber tree)
Lineage: Eukaryota; Viridiplantae; Streptophyta; Magnoliopsida; Malpighiales; Euphorbiaceae
Source: RNAcentral
CGGGGAGUGAAGAAGUACCACUCUCUCUGUCCGAAAAGCGCCUUCUCUGGGAGCUCCCAUGGAUCGAAUUUGUAGAGGUCGACCUCGGCGAUGAUCGGGACGGGGAGGCGCUGGUAGGCGAUUUUGCGGCAGAGGUAGUGGACGACGAGCUCAUCAUCGGUGGGGUGGAAGCGGAAGCCAGGGGGGAGGUUGAGCUCGGCCUCGGCGUCGUGGUGGCUGCUUCCCAUUCUUGCUUGGUUGAUGGAUCUCUU